CCCUUAGAUGUUCUGGGCUGCACGCGCGCUACACUGAUGCGAUCAACAAGUUUUUCCUAUGUCGAUAGACACGGGUAAUCUUUUGAACUCGCAUCGUGAUGGGGAUAGAUUAUUGUAAUUAUUAAUCUUCAACGAGGAAUUCCUAGUAGGUGCAGAUCAUCAGUUUGCAUCGAUUACGUCCCUGCCCUUUGUACACACCGCCCGUCGCUGCUACCGAUUGGUUGAUCUGGUGAAUUAUUCGGACUGCCGGCUGAAGGGGUUUCCUCAUCUGCCAGCGGAAAGUCUUGUUAACCCUAUCAACUAGAGGAAGCAGAAGUCGUAACA
This 324-nucleotide ribosomal RNA is filed under the name uncultured eukaryote. RNAcentral's name for it is "partial 18S ribosomal RNA". It matches the Rfam family "Eukaryotic small subunit ribosomal RNA", at positions 1470 to 1796 of the family's 1831-position model. The record is from RNAcentral.